AGCGCCUACGGGGGGCAGCAGUGAGGAAUAUUGGUCAAUGGGCGCGAGCCUGAACCAGCCAAGUCGCGUGAGGGAUGAAGGAUCUAUGGUUCGUAAACCUUUUUUAUAAGGGAAUAAAGUGCGGGACGCGUCCCGCUUCGCAUGUACCUUAUGAAUAAGGAUCGGCUAACUCCGUGCCAGCAGCCGCGGUAAUACGGAGGAUCCGAGCGUUAUCCGGAUUUAUUGGGUUUAAAGGGUGCGUAGGCGGCCUUUUAAGUCAGCGGUGAAAUCGCGGGGCUCAACCCCGCCGAGCCGUCGGAACUGGG
This 305-nucleotide ribosomal RNA is filed under the name uncultured bacterium. RNAcentral describes it as "bacterial SSU rRNA". It matches the Rfam family "Bacterial small subunit ribosomal RNA", at positions 334 to 637 of the family's 1533-position model. The record is from RNAcentral.